Molecule: ribosomal RNA, 253 nt
Filed under: uncultured bacterium
Lineage: Bacteria
Description: partial 16S ribosomal RNA
Rfam family: Bacterial small subunit ribosomal RNA
Source: RNAcentral
UACGUAGGGUGCGAGCGUUGUCCGGAAUUAUUGGGCGUAAAGAGCUCGUAGGCGGUUUGUCGCGUCUGCUGUGAAAACCUAAGGCUCAACCUUGGGCUUGCAGUGGGUACGGGCAGACUAGAGUGCGGUAGGGGUGACUGGAAUUCCUGGUGUAGCGGUGGAAUGCGCAGAUAUCGGGAAGAACACCCGUGGCGAAGGCGGCUCUCUGGGACGGUACUGACGCUGAGACGCGAAAGCGUGGGGAGCGAACAGG